Molecule: microRNA, 23 nt
Filed under: Echinops telfairi (small Madagascar hedgehog)
Lineage: Eukaryota; Metazoa; Chordata; Mammalia; Afrosoricida; Tenrecidae
Description: Ete-Mir-194-P4_5p (mature (guide))
Source: RNAcentral
UGUAACAGCAACUCCAUGUGGAG